CCUACGGGUGGCAGCAGUGGGGAAUAUUGCACAAUGGGCGAAAGCCUGAUGCAGCAACGCCGCGUGGAGGAAGAAGGGUUUCGGCUCGUAAACUUCUAUCAACAGGGAAGAAAGAAAUGACGGUACCUGAAUGAGACGCCGCGGCUAACUACGUGCCAGCAGCCGCGGAAAUACGUAGGGGGCAAGCGUUAUCCGGAAUUACUGGGUGUAAAGGGUGAGUAGGCGGCAUGGUAAGCCAGAUGUGAACGCCUUGGGCGUAACCCGAGGAUUGCAUUUGGAACUAUCAAGCUAGAGUGCGGGAGAGGAAAGCGGAAUUCCUGGUGAAGCGGUGAAAUGCGUAGAUAUUAGGAAGAACACCAGUGGCGAAGGCGGCCUGCUGGACUGAAACUGACGCUGAGGCACGAAAGCGUGGGGAGCGAACAGGAUUAGAUACCCGAGUAGUC
RNAcentral lists this ribosomal RNA (443 nucleotides) under uncultured bacterium. Its description in RNAcentral is "partial 16S ribosomal RNA". It matches the Rfam family "Bacterial small subunit ribosomal RNA", at positions 338 to 795 of the family's 1533-position model. The record is from RNAcentral.